AGGUUAUUGACAAAGUCGUCUGUGCAGAGAGAACGGGUAGAUCAUCAAGACGCCGUAAAUCCCUCUCUGGAGGCUCGUGCCGCGCCAUCCCUGGCGCGGACGCUU
RNAcentral lists this non-coding RNA (105 nucleotides) under Yersinia bercovieri. The record is from RNAcentral. Lineage: Bacteria; Pseudomonadati; Pseudomonadota; Gammaproteobacteria; Enterobacterales; Yersiniaceae.